UCUCUCGUGGUCCAACGGUUCAAGACACGCGCCUGUCAUGUCGGCAAAAUCCGACGGAUCGCGCGUAACCCGGGUUCGACUCCCGGCGAGGGAG
This 94-nucleotide transfer RNA is filed under the name Auriculariales sp. MPI-PUGE-AT-0066. It matches the Rfam family "tRNA". From Rfam's summary of the family: Transfer RNA (tRNA) molecules are approximately 80 nucleotides in length. The record is from Rfam by way of RNAcentral. Lineage: Eukaryota; Fungi; Basidiomycota; Agaricomycetes; Auriculariales.